AGCAGCCGCGGUAAUUCCAGCUCCAAUAGCGUAUAUUAAAGUUGUUGCAGUUAAAAAGCUCGUAGUUGAAUUUUUGAUUCUACCAAUUGGUCCAUCUUUUAGAUGAGUACUGGUUGUGUGGGGUCUAUCCGCCUGGUGAUACGUAAUGUCCUUUAUUGGAUGUUGCGGGUAGUCAGGACCUUUACCUUGAAAAAAUUAGAGUGUUUAAAGCAGGCUUAUGCCGGAAUACAUUAGCAUGGAAUAAUAGAAUAGGACGAAGUUGUUUUAUUUUGUUGGUUUCUAGGACAACCGUAAUGAUUAAUAGGGAUAGUUGGGGGCAUUAGUAUUCAAUUGUCAGAGGUGAAAUUCUUGGAUUUAUUGAAGACUAACUACUGCGAAAGCAUUUGCCAAGGAUGUUUUCAUUAAUCAAGAACGAAAGUUAGGGGAUCGAAGACGAUCAGAUACCGUCGUAGUCUUAACCAUAAACUAUGCCGACUAGGGAUCGGGCGAUGUUGUUUCCAUGACUCGCUCGGCACCUUAU
RNAcentral lists this small RNA (520 nucleotides) under uncultured Archaeospora. RNAcentral describes it as "SSU rRNA". It matches the Rfam family "Eukaryotic small subunit ribosomal RNA", at positions 569 to 1091 of the family's 1831-position model. The record is from RNAcentral. Lineage: Eukaryota; Fungi; Glomeromycota; Glomeromycetes; Archaeosporales; Archaeosporaceae.